AUGCGCCACGGUGAAGCGCCGCUGCAGGCGGAUGCUCUGGUUCACCAGCAGCUUCCUGAAGAGCACGGGGGAAUUGCGGGGGGACCCCCGGGGGGACCCCACGGGCGAAGCCCCCGGGGAGGGCAGCAUGGCCCCGCUCAGGGCGCUCUGGGGUCCGUCCCCAUGGGCUCAGCAGCGGUGGUGGGGGGACGGGGAGCCGAGCGGCGGGGACCCGCUGCCCGCCGCCGAGGAGCAGGAAACGCGCGGCUGCCCCAACCCUGGCGGCCCCGGGAAAGUUUCCAUCCCCCUCCCGCCCGCGCCUGGGAAAUUAAACAACUGUCUGGCUCGGGCAGACCCCCCCCUACACACCACACACCACACACACACACACACACAGCGUCCCGUUUGGCUCCAUCAAUCCCGUCCCGUGUGUGUGCGUGGCCGGCUCGCCGGGCACGUGGCCACCACCCCUUGGACCCGUGCCCCGGGGCGCUGCGCUGUCCCCUCGGUGGUGGCAGCUGUGGCCAGAAGGGUGAGGAUGCUCGGCCCGGCCACGUGCGGCAACACCACGAGCGCCACGGCCACGUGGGGAGGUUGCCGAGGGGCUCGGCGGAGCCUGGAGCAAGGUGGGGGCGAGGUGAGGGCACGGCGCGGUGCCACCGAGGGGCGCGGUGCCACCAAGGGGCACGGCUGAGCCUGGAGCAGCCCGGGUGGCUGCGGUGGCCGUGCCGUGGUGCCAUCGAGCCGCACGGCUCAGCCCCAAGGACCCCAAACACGUGGAGGGGCCACCGAGAGCCAAAACCAAACCCCAGGUACCCCAGGCGCACAACACGGGCACAUCACCGUGCCCCCAAGGGCCGCGGCUCCACCUGGAUACACCGUGUGGCCGCACCACGGGGCCACCAAGGGACCAAACCUACCCCCACGUCCCCCCCCGUGUCCCCCAGCUGCUCCUGGCCACCCAGUUUGGGGACGUGGAGCGGGCUGGGACCCACCAGGGCUGCCCCGCAUCGCCCCGGGCUGGCCGUGGGAGCCGGGUGCCCCCCAGCCCGACCCCGCGGCCCCGCUGACGCAGCCGGAUACCUGCUGUCCCCGGCGGAGGCAAAAAUAUCCCGCAGCUGGCAGGGACCCAAGCAGGGCCCCCCCGGCACGGUGGCACCCCCGGGAGCCCCGAGACCAUCGGGUGGGGGUCCCGGUGUUGGGGACCCGCCGCCUCGCAGCACGGGGACAUCGGGAGGGUGUUGUGCCAUCGGGGCGCAAAGGGUAGCAGGGGGGGGGACGUCAGGGUGGGGACAGAGCUGUCCCCGCCUGGCAGCCAGGAGCCCGUGGGACAGCCAGGGCUGGGCAGGAGCGGCCGCAGGACAGCCUGUCCCUGUCCCCAGGACAGCCAGUCCCUGUCCCCUGCGGGGCCGCGGCUGUCCCCAGCAGGGACACGUGUCCGCGCAGGGGGUGGACAGCAGGUGA
Molecule: long non-coding RNA, 1443 nt
Filed under: Anas platyrhynchos platyrhynchos (common mallard)
Lineage: Eukaryota; Metazoa; Chordata; Aves; Anseriformes; Anatidae
Description: lncRNA (ENSAPLG00000026465.1)
Source: RNAcentral